RNAcentral lists this ribosomal RNA (565 nucleotides) under uncultured fungus. RNAcentral describes it as "eukaryotic LSU rRNA". The stretch from base 208 to 361 matches the Rfam family "5.8S ribosomal RNA". Lineage: Eukaryota; Fungi. The record is from RNAcentral.
CGUAACAAGGUCUCCGUAGGUGAACCUGCGGAGGGAUCAUUACACAAAUAUGAAGGCGGGCUGGAACCUCUCGGGGUUACAGCCUUGCUGAAUUAUUCACCCUUGUCUUUUGCGUACUUCUUGUUUCCUUGGUGGGUUCGCCCACCACUAGGACAAACAUAAACCCUUUGUAAUUGCAAUCAGCGUCAGUAACAAAUUAAUAAUUACAACUUUCAACAACGGAUCUCUUGGUUCUGGCAUCGAUGAAGAACGCAGCGAAAUGCGAUAAGUAGUGUGAAUUGCAGAAUUCAGUGAAUCAUCGAAUCUUUGAACGCACAUUGCGCCCUUUGGUAUUCCAAAGGGCAUGCCUGUUCGAGCGUCAUUUGUACCCUCAAGCUUUGCUUGGUGUUGGGCGUCUUGUCUCUAGCUUUGCUGGAGACUCGCCUUAAAGUAAUUGGCAGCCGGCCUACUGGUUUCGGAGCGCAGCACAAGUCGCACUCUCUAUCAGCAAAGGUCUAGCAUCCAUUAAGCCUUUUUUUCAACUUUUGACCUCGGAUUAGGUAGGGAUACCCGCUGAACUUAAGCA